GUGGGGAAUCUUGCGCAAUGGGCGAAAGCCUGACGCAGCCAUGCCGCGUGAAUGAUGAAGGUCUUAGGAUUGUAAAAUUCUUUCACCGGGGACGAUAAUGACGGUACCCGGAGAAGAAGCUCCGGCUAUCUUCGUGCCAGCAGCCGCGGUAAUACGAAGGGGGCUAGCGUUGCUCGGAAUUACUGGGCGUAAAGGGCGCGUAGGCGGACAGCUUAGUCAGAGGUGAAAGCCCAGGGCUCAACCUUGGAAUUGCCUUUGAUACUGGCUAUCUUGAGUAUGGAAGAGGUAUGUGGAACUCCGAGUGUAGAGGUGAAAUUCGUAGAUAUUCGGAAGAACACCAGUGGCGAAGGCGACAUACUGGUCCAUUACUGACGCUGAGGCUCGAAAGCGUGGGGAGCAAACAGGAUUAGAAACCCGUGUAGUCC
Molecule: ribosomal RNA, 425 nt
Filed under: uncultured bacterium
Lineage: Bacteria
Description: partial 16S ribosomal RNA
Rfam family: Bacterial small subunit ribosomal RNA
Source: RNAcentral